RNAcentral lists this transfer RNA (90 nucleotides) under Sinomonas humi. RNAcentral describes it as "tRNA-Ser". It matches the Rfam family "tRNA". Rfam says of the family: Transfer RNA (tRNA) molecules are approximately 80 nucleotides in length. Their secondary structure includes four short double-helical elements and three loops (D, anti-codon, and T loops). RNAcentral also lists the same sequence under 1 other name. Lineage: Bacteria; Bacillati; Actinomycetota; Actinomycetes; Micrococcales; Micrococcaceae. The record is from RNAcentral.
GGUGGUGUGUCCGAGCGGCCGAAGGUGCAUCACUCGAAAUGAUGUUUGGUGUAAAAGCCAACGGGGGUUCAAAUCCCUCCACCACCGCCC